This 253-nucleotide ribosomal RNA is filed under the name uncultured bacterium. Its description in RNAcentral is "partial 16S ribosomal RNA". It matches the Rfam family "Bacterial small subunit ribosomal RNA", at positions 524 to 776 of the family's 1533-position model. The record is from RNAcentral.
UACGUAGGGUGCAAGCGUUAAUCGGAAUUACUGGGCGUAAAGCGUGCGCAGGCGGCUUUGCAAGACAGAUGUGAAAUCCCCGGGCUUAACCUGGGAACUGCAUUUGUGACUGCAUGGCUGGAGUGCGGCAGAGGGGGAUGGAAUUCCGCGUGUAGCAGUGAAAUGCGUAGAUAUCUGGAGGAACACCGAUGGCGAAGGCGGCAUCCUGGACCAGCACUGACGCUGAUGAGCGAAAGCCAGGGGAGCAAACGGG